This is a non-coding RNA of Schistosoma margrebowiei, 78 nucleotides long. NCBI's taxonomy places the organism in Eukaryota, Metazoa, Platyhelminthes, Trematoda, Strigeidida, Schistosomatidae. The record is from Rfam.
AGCCUUCUGUAUCCGUGCUGAGAUUUAGUCACACACUAGACCACAAUGACUGAUGAGAAUCGCAAGAUAAGUGAAGCG